CUACGGGUUGCUGCAGUGGGGAAUAUUGCACAAUGGGCGCAAGCCUGAUGCAGCCAUGCCGCGUGUAUGAAGAAGGCCUUCGGGUUGUAAAGUACUUUCAGCGGGGAGGAAGGGAGUAAAGUUAAUACCUUUGCUCAUUGGCGUUACCCGCAGAAGAAGCACCGGCUAACUCCGUGCCAGCAGCCGCGGUAAUACGGGGGGUGCAAGCUUUAAUCGGAAUUACUGGGCGUAAAGCGCACGCAGGCGGUUUGUUAAGUCAGGUGUGAAAUCCCCGGGCUCAACCUGGGAACUGCAUCUGAUACUGGCAAGCUUGAGUCUCGUAGAGGGGGGUAGAAUUCCAGGUGUAGCGGUGAAAUGCGUAGAGAUCUGGAGGAAUACCGGUGGCGAAGGCGGCCCCCUGGACGAAGACUGACGCUCAGGUGCGAAAGCGUGGGGAGCAAACAGGAUUAGAUACCCGUGUAGUC
This 464-nucleotide ribosomal RNA is filed under the name uncultured bacterium. Its description in RNAcentral is "partial 16S ribosomal RNA". It matches the Rfam family "Bacterial small subunit ribosomal RNA", at positions 339 to 795 of the family's 1533-position model. The record is from RNAcentral.